AUGUUGCACCGUACAAGUGGCGGCAACCUCUCAUACUCCGGUCCAGAUGGACAAAACGCGUUGCAUGCCGCGGUUCACCAUCCAUACGGUAUGGUACAACUGCUACUAGAUUGGAACAAUGAUCUUAGCGAACACAAGGACAAAAAUGGCUGCACCCCUCUUCACUCGUUGGUUUCGGUGCAGUCUGAAGAUUACAUUCCUAGAUUUUUUUUUUGUUUCCAUAAUGUCAAGUCGCUGUUGGAAAAACAUGCAACAAGGCAGGUACUUGGUGCUAACCCAUCCGCAGCAUAUCAGCAUGACAGUAAUGGUUUGUUACCUGUACACAUCGCUGCCUUGAUGGAUAGGAAGGUUGCCAUCGGUAUUCUCCUCAAAAGGUGUCGUGGUUGCAUCGCUCUUCGUGAUAAGCAGGGGAGAUCCUUUCUUCACAUUGCGGUCAAGAACAAGGUCUACCGUAUAGUAAAAUAUGCUUGUCAAGAACGAGUUUUUGCGCCGAUACUGAACGCUCGGGACAAUGAUGGUUACACUGCACUACACGUAGCUGUGGAGGUUGGGGAUCUGUUCGUCUUCUGUUAUCUCUUGCGGAAUCCAAAAGUACUAUUAAAUGUAAGGAACAACAAGGAUGAGACUCCGCUGGAUCUAGCAAGGAGCAAGAAACGCACAAGUUUUUACUUUAGACAGAAUCCAGAGAUCGUGAUACACAGGACACUCAUCGAUGCUGGUGCUAGGCAUGGUAGCUUCUGGAGAGGUCAUGUUCAACAACUCUGCAUUCAGAAUCAGUUGUCAAACUUAAAAGAUGUGGAGAAUCAAUCAAAAGAAGUGGUUGAGGCGAACCAUAAGAAAAAAGAGAAAAAAGAGAAAAAAGACUCAGAUGAGGUGACUGAAUCGAGCCGGGCACUUGGCAUUUUAUCAGUACUCAUCACAACGGUGACAUUUGGUGCAGCCUUCAGCGUACCUCCUUCAAUCAAACAAGCCGACAAUAGCAAGGGUGACAAUCCAAGACUUUUCAAUGCCUGGUAUUUCAGUGUGUUCAUGCUCGCCAACGCAGGUGCUUUCGUCUACUCCUCAAUAGCUACACUUUGUCUCAUGAUCUCCAGCACGUCCAUGGUUAAACUGGAUAUCCGGCGAGCUGCCUUCAGGAUAUCCACGUUUUUCGCCUCACAUUCGCUCACCUACUUGACUAUUGCAUUUGCCCUUGGCAUACAUAUAGUACUGGCUCCAGCAGGUCGUACAAUUGCCCCUGCCAUAUACACGGUGAGCUUAUCUCUGUUGCUCUGGCAGCAUGGAGGUUCUGUCGGAGAAAUCUUUCAUACUUACAAACCGCUGUCUGUCAGACGGGGGCAUAAAUUCGCAUUCUGCCUAUUUAUACGCCAUAUCUCUCUGUGGGCUAUAAGUCAGCUUUGGCCCUUCACUCUUUUUAUUUACGCAUCAGCGGGAAAUAAACCUAUCCCUUGA
This 1452-nucleotide ribosomal RNA is filed under the name Triticum aestivum (bread wheat). Its description in RNAcentral is "partial small subunit ribosomal RNA". Lineage: Eukaryota; Viridiplantae; Streptophyta; Magnoliopsida; Poales; Poaceae. The record is from RNAcentral.